RNAcentral lists this ribosomal RNA (253 nucleotides) under uncultured bacterium. RNAcentral's name for it is "partial 16S ribosomal RNA". It matches the Rfam family "Bacterial small subunit ribosomal RNA", at positions 524 to 776 of the family's 1533-position model. The record is from RNAcentral.
UACGGAGGGUGCAAGCGUUAUCCGGAAUCACUGGGUUUAAAGGGUGCGUAGGCGGCCUAGUAAGUCAGAGGUGAAAGGCUAGAGCUUAACUUUAGAAUUGCCUUUGAUACUGCUGGGCUUGACUUAGGAUGAGGUUAGCGGAAUGUGGCAUGUAGCGGUGAAAUGCAUAGAUAUGCCAUAGAACAUCGAUUGCGAAGGCAGCUGGCUAGACCUAAAUUAACGCUGAGGCACGAAAGCGUCGGGAGCGAAGAGG